GUAAAAACUCUAUUAAUCAAAUCAACGUCUAAAGUUAUAAAUUUCAAAAUAAUUUAACGGGCCGUUUUUGAAAAAUGUUGAAAUUUCAAAGAUCAACAGCAAUAAGCCAAAAACCGACACGGAUACAGAUACGAGGAUGCAUAUAACAAUUGGAAGCCAACUGUGUAUAUUCGAUCCGCUACCGGUCGUUGGUGGUGUUGGUUUGUGGUGAAAUUUAUUAUACAGGCCCAAAGAACAUAAUGGAAUAUUCCGGUAAAUGGAGUUAAGUGUGUGUAUUGUGUAUAUUGUGUCUUUCAAGGGUGUACUUGUAGUCGUCCACUUGUUUUGCAUGUUUACUAUCCUUCUUAAGUCUUGCGGAACAUGUUAAAGGAAACACUUUGGAUUUCCUUAGAGAGGACGAAUAUAGAGGGAAUUUAAGGGAAUUUAUUGAUAUGGUAUAGUCGGUGGACCUGUAGCUUCAUGCGUUUACUCACUGACGGAGGUACUCCAUUCGAUGCUAUGCACAUGUAUGCGCCCAUUUCCGAUCGCGUGACUUUUGACAGCGUCAGCAUUUCACCUU
Molecule: long non-coding RNA, 559 nt
Organism: Episyrphus balteatus (marmalade hoverfly)
Lineage: Eukaryota; Metazoa; Arthropoda; Insecta; Diptera; Syrphidae
Exons: 3
Source: RefSeq, a predicted model, not a curated record